AUAUCUCAUUGAGAUCAGUAACAAGGCGAUACGUGAAUGGAAAAAACAAAAUUGCAUCUUUAAGAACUUGUCUGGAUUGUUAUUUUUAAUAGUAAGAUGAAAGAGAGGUGUCAGAGGGUGCAUAUAUUU
RNAcentral lists this small nucleolar RNA (129 nucleotides) under Candida albicans. The record is from RNAcentral. RNAcentral also lists the same sequence under 1 other name. Lineage: Eukaryota; Fungi; Ascomycota; Pichiomycetes; Serinales; Debaryomycetaceae.